Molecule: ribosomal RNA, 1024 nt
Filed under: uncultured bacterium
Lineage: Bacteria
Description: bacterial SSU rRNA
Rfam family: Bacterial small subunit ribosomal RNA
Source: RNAcentral
UGUAAACUGCUUUUAUACACAAGAAAAAACACUACGUGUAGGUGCCCGACGGUAGUGUAUGAAUAAGCAUCGGCUAACUCCGUGCCAGCAGCCGCGGUAAUACGGAGGAUGCGAGCGUUAUCCGGGAUUCAUUGGGUUUAAAGGGUGCGUAGGCGGUCUUUUAAGUCAGUGGUGAAAUCUUGCCGCUUAACGGUAAAAUUGCCAUUGAUACUGAAAGACUUGAGUACAGUUGAGGUAAGCGGAAUGUGUAGUGUAGCGGUGAAAUGCUUAGAUAUUACACAGAACACCAAUUGCGAAGGCAGCUUACUAAACUGGUACUGACGCUGAUGCACGAAAGCGUGGGGAGCGAACAGGAUUAGAUACCCUGGUAGUCCACGCCGUAAACGAUGCUCACUCGCUGUUUGCGAUACACAGCAAGCGGCCAAGCGAAAGCAUUAAGUGAGCCACCUGGGAGUACGAGCGCAAGGUUGAAACUCAAAGGAAUUGACGGGGGCCCGCACAAGCGGAGGAACAUGUGGUUUAAUUCGAUGAUACGCGAGGAACCUUACCUGGGCUUAAAUGUAGAGCGACAGAUUGUGAAAGCAGUCCUUCUUCGGACGAUCUACAAGGUGCUGCAUGGUUGUCGUCAGCUCGUGCCGUGAGGUGUCGGGUUAAGUCCCAUAACGAGCGCAACCCUUAUCGUUAGUUGCCAGCGGGUCAAGCCGGGGACUCUAGCGAGACUGCCACCGUAAGGUGUGAGGAAGGUGGGGAUGACGUCAAAUCAGCACGGCCCUUAUGUCCAGGGCUACACACGUGUUACAAUGGCCGAUACAAAGGGCAGCUACCAGGUGACUGGAUGCUAAUCUCCAAAGUCGGUCUCAGUUCGGAUCGAAGUCUGCAACCCGACUUCGUGAAGCUGGAUUCGCUAGUAAUCGCAUAUCAGCCAUGAUGCGGUGAAUACGUUCCCGGGCCUUGUACACACCGCCCGUCAAACAAUGGAAGCUGGGGGUACCUGAAGUCUGUAACCGCAAGGAGCGGCCUAGGU